UUGGCAACACUUGCUUUGUUUGUAUAGCGUUUGUAGUAAACACGUUGUGUGAUGUAGGAAUUUAGAUUUGUUAAGACGAUUGUGAAUCCAAUUAUUUGUAUAACAACAAUAAAAUUUUCAAAAUUUUGGAAGGAGAUAUAUAUAGUAGAUUUAUUAAAGAUCGUUAUCAAAACACUCUUCGAGAAAUUGGACUAAAUUAGAUGAGACUGAAUUAGAUUUCAGAAAAUGGGAUCGGAACAUAGUCAUCAGUCUGCAAAUAGUUCACAAAGGAAUAACUCAAAUAAUAUCCCAGAUUCUAAUCAAGUCUUAAGAAGUUCUUCUCCUCGACCAUCUAUUAGUUCAGAUUCAGAUAUACCAUAUGUUUCGUAUACUGUAAAUAGACCAAUUGGAGUAAGUAAAUGUGUAUAAAAGAUGCCAGUCUAAGAUUGAUAUUAACAAGCUCUUCCACAUGAUCCAGUGCUCCCUUUCUAUGAGGUAUUGUCAAAGACUUUUAUGCACAGGAUAAGGAGUCUACAUCUUUAUAAUUAUGAAUUCCCUUCUCUUUGCUGCUUUAAACAUCUCAUGAAGCUCAGAGUUCUGAUGUGAUCAUUCUUGUAAACAGUAUGUAUCAUUAGCUUUUUUAUAUUUUUCUUCUAUUUAUAAUUUUAUUUUAUUUACUUCCUCUGAUGGAAUAAGAGCUUAAAUGUAAUUCAAAAUUUUAUUAAAAUUUAUAGAUUGAUUUAAAUGUUCAGUUUGUGAACCUGAAGGAAGAAUGCCUAUGAAUGAGGCUGAAAAUAUUAGUUUCAGUAAAAAGUGUUGCUGGAAAGAAAAAAGAUAUAUAUUUGUUUAUACUAGGUAUAAAUUUUUGUUUUAUCUAUCUGGUUAGAGUAUUCACUGAUAUCAUGUUCAAAAUGUUUAGUUAAAAUGCUUUAUAAAGUACAGUGAGUUUCAGAACAUAUUCAUUUUCAUCUAUUGCUGUUAAUCACUCAAAACUAUAAUGUGGCAAAUCACAUUUAGGAAAAUUGCUAUAUUAACCAAGUAGAAAUAAUGUGGGCCAAGAUUAAACCUGUUUGAUCUACUAGCUAUCAAUGAACAAUCUUGUUUUAUAUUAUAAUUUUUACAU
Centruroides sculpturatus (bark scorpion) is the source of this 1102-nucleotide long non-coding RNA. RefSeq lists it as uncharacterized. Lineage: Eukaryota; Metazoa; Arthropoda; Arachnida; Scorpiones; Buthidae. The record is from RefSeq and is a predicted model, not a curated record. The transcript has 4 exons.